Pistacia vera is the source of this 653-nucleotide long non-coding RNA. RefSeq lists it as uncharacterized. Lineage: Eukaryota; Viridiplantae; Streptophyta; Magnoliopsida; Sapindales; Anacardiaceae. The transcript has 3 exons. The record is from RefSeq and is a predicted model, not a curated record.
UAGGAAAGAACAAAAAGACCGCGUGCCGGCGCCCAGAGCCACACAGCACACUACACAGCCUCCAAAGGAGACCAAGACUUGGUGUCUCCAUAUUCUUUUCCUGUUUGCAGCUUCUUCUUCCCUCCGGUAUCCUAAGGGGGGAGAAAAUGGCUUUGGGACUUAUAUUAGGGAUAGGGAGAGCAAUGCGAAGGAAAAGUACAUCAUCACUUGACAUUCGCUCGUCGAAACGCGGCCCGCGAGAUUAUUACAAGGGAAAGAAUUGCGAGCCAACUGGUUUCCAUACUCGCAAAGGUUCGAUUGUUUUUACUUCCAUUUGCAAUUUCUCCAUUCCAGCUUAAAUGUGUUUGUUUGAUAAUCCAGGGAUUUAGAAGAGUGAUGAUAAUUGUUUGAGUUCAAUGAAAUGUACUGAAAAGUUAUUAGAAUUCAUGAAAACUUAUAAUUUUACAUGCUCACCGCGUUUAUAGUUUUCGUCUGCUUUGAUUUAACUGGACAAUUAAUGCAGGUGGUACGUUGUGGUGCAAGUGAAACGCCCAACUUUUGGUUCCUGAUUUGACUGACUUCGAUCUCAAGCCACAUUGUCACAGUGCCUGAUGGAAGUCAAAGCAGCUGAGACUGCUGAAUCAGGAAUAUAGUUUAAUAAAGCGAGAAAGGGC